RNAcentral lists this ribosomal RNA (312 nucleotides) under Triticum aestivum (bread wheat). Its description in RNAcentral is "partial small subunit ribosomal RNA". Lineage: Eukaryota; Viridiplantae; Streptophyta; Magnoliopsida; Poales; Poaceae. The record is from RNAcentral.
AUGUCCGGGCGCGGCAAGGGAGGCAAGGGGCUCGGCAAGGGCGGCGCCAAGCGCCACCGGAAGGUGCUGCGCGACAACAUCCAGGGCAUCACCAAGCCGGCGAUCCGGCGCCUGGCGCGGAGGGGCGGCGUGAAGCGCAUCUCGGGGCUCAUCUACGAGGAGACCCGCGGCGUGCUCAAGAUCUUCCUCGAGAACGUCAUCCGCGACGCCGUCACCUACACCGAGCACGCCCGCCGCAAGACCGUCACCGCCAUGGACGUCGUCUACGCGCUCAAGCGCCAGGGCCGCACCCUUUAUGGCUUCGGCGGCUAG